AUGGAGGAGGCAGAAUGUGCAUCUGGUUGGGGUUCUCUCGAUGCAAUCUGUGAGGAGUCGGAGAUGAUUGCACAUUUGCAGUCAGUGCUCUGGUGUGACAGUGAUUCUGAUGCAAAUCUCCGCUCCUCCAAAAAUGAUAGCACAAAUGCAUCUUUUGAUCUCCAAGUCGAUGACCUCAGUUCGGCAAAUGAGAGGGACAUUGGUAUCAAGAGAAAGAUGCAAGUGGAUGAGCAGAGCGACCAUCACAAUGAAGUCCCCGCGGUUCUCUCGGCCCCAAGGAAGAGUGGUAACAAAUCAAGAGCUGCAAUGGACUCACAAAGCAACUAUGCAAAGAGAAGAAGGCAUAAGAUCAACGAGAGGCUAAGAGUACUGCAGCACCUGAUCCCUAACGGCACAAAGGUUGACAUAAGCACAAUGUUGGAGGAAGCAGUCCAGUAUGUCAAGUUUCUGCAUAUGCAGAUCAAGGAUUCUAUUUUUAUUCUUGAUUGCUUAAACAAUGUCAAUAAUAAGAUUUAUUUUAAA
Molecule: ribosomal RNA, 522 nt
Filed under: Triticum aestivum (bread wheat)
Lineage: Eukaryota; Viridiplantae; Streptophyta; Magnoliopsida; Poales; Poaceae
Description: partial small subunit ribosomal RNA
Source: RNAcentral